AAAGAUUUAGGAUAACAAGACCAAAGGCCUUCAAAGCCUUAAGCAGAAGUUUAAACCUUCUAAUCUUUGAA
Molecule: transfer RNA, 71 nt
Filed under: Nototriton abscondens
Lineage: Eukaryota; Metazoa; Chordata; Amphibia; Caudata; Plethodontidae
Description: tRNA-Trp
Rfam family: tRNA
About the family: Transfer RNA (tRNA) molecules are approximately 80 nucleotides in length. Their secondary structure includes four short double-helical elements and three loops (D, anti-codon, and T loops).
Source: RNAcentral